This 215-nucleotide unclassified non-coding RNA is filed under the name Glomus sp. RNAcentral describes it as "partial contains 5.8S ribosomal RNA and internal transcribed spacer 2". The stretch from base 1 to 72 matches the Rfam family "5.8S ribosomal RNA", at positions 84 to 154 of the family's 154-position model. The record is from RNAcentral. Lineage: Eukaryota; Fungi; Glomeromycota; Glomeromycetes; Glomerales; Glomeraceae.
GUGAAUCAUCGAAUCUUUGAACGCAAAUUGCACUCUCCGGUUUUCCGGGAGAGUAUGCCUGUUUGCGGGUCUGUUUAAAAAAUAAUCGAGGCUGCUGCUGUGGAGGCGCUUCGGAAUUGGGCGAUCUUACACCUUUCGGGGUUGUAAGCGACAUGAAAUAUUUCUUACGAUAUCUACGAACGUGUCUAAGAAUGUAUUGUACGUUCGCGAACUCG